This 917-nucleotide ribosomal RNA is filed under the name Ophiocordyceps irangiensis. RNAcentral's name for it is "LSU rRNA". It matches the Rfam family "Eukaryotic large subunit ribosomal RNA", at positions 40 to 962 of the family's 3401-position model. The record is from RNAcentral. Lineage: Eukaryota; Fungi; Ascomycota; Sordariomycetes; Hypocreales; Ophiocordycipitaceae.
AUAUCAAUAAGCGGAGGAAAAGAAACCAACAGGGAUUGCCCUAGUAACGGCGAGUGAAGCGGCAAUAGCUCAAAUUUGAAAUCUGGCUUCCUUUUUUAUAGGGGUCCGAGUUGUAAUUUGCAGAGGAUGCUUUUGGCACAGCACUGAACAAGUUCCCUGGAACGGGACGCCACAGAGGGUGAGAGCCCCGUCUAGUCAGACGCCUAGCCUCUAUAAAGCUCCUUCAACGAGUCGAGUAGUUUGGGAAUGCUGCUCAAAUUGGGAGGUAUAUGUCUUCUAAAGCUAAAUACCGGCUAGAGACCGAUAGCGCACAAGUAGAGUGAUCGAAAGAUGAAAAGCACUUUGAAAAGAGGGUUAAAUAGUACGUGAAAUUGCUAAAAGGGAAGCGCUUACAACUAGACGUAGGGGUAUUCAAUCACCUAGUGUUUUUUACUAGGGCAUUUGGGUAUAUUUCCUAGGCUAGCAUCGGUUUGCUAUGGGGGAGAAAGACGCUAGGAAUGUAGCCCCCCUCGGGGGGUGUUAUAGCCUAGUGUGUAAUGCCCUAUAGCAGACCGAGGUCUGCGCAUUUUACUGCAAGGAUGCUGGCGUAAUAGUUGUUAGCGACCCGUCUUGAAACACGGACCAAGGAGUCGUCCUCGUAUGCGAGUAUUUGGGUGUAAAACCCCUGUGCGAAAUGAAAGUGAACGUAGGUGAGAGCCUGUAAUAUGGUGCAUCACCGACCGAUCCUGAUGUUCUCGGAUGGAUUUGAGUAAGAGCAUACGGGGCCGGACCCGAAAGAAGGUGAACUAUGCCUGCGUAGGGUGAAGCCAGAGGAAACUCUGGUGGAGGCUCGCAGCGGUUCUGACGUGCAAAUCGAUCGUCAAACGUGGGCAUGGGGGCGAAAGACUAAUCGAACCUUCUAGUAGCUGGUUUCCGCC